GUGGAAGCCAUUUUUCUCGUCGAUCUAACAGCAGAGCCUCCCUAAUUUGUCAUUUUCGUCUCUCAUUUGUUUUUGGUAAAAACAUAGCAAAGUAGCUUUGUUACCGAUUACCGACCAUUACCGUCACCGGUUAACCGGUGAUGGUAACGGUCGAAAUAUACAACGUCAAAAAGGAGUCGGUGAAAUUACCGACUUCCCCGACAAAGUCGGGACGGUAGGCGGAAAACCCCCUACCGUUCCCGAUUCCCCCGAUACCCACCCCUAGUUAGAAUUCACCCCUCUCAGUUAAAGUUACUGAGUCUUCUUCAUUUCUCUCUUCUUGUUCAUUUCUUUUUCGUUUCUCUUUCUUGCUCCUUCUUUCCCUGUUCCUGUCCGAGUCUUCGAAAGGGGAAGAUCGUGGGAGAAAGAGGAAGUUGUGAGUGAUGAGAGAUUAGAGAUGUGUUUGAGAGAGAAGAGUGAAGUUAAGAGAGAAAAUCUGAAGAGGAGAGACCCGUAUCCUCCUUUUCUCUUUCCCCUUGCCCGGUUCCCCUUCCUUCCUCUUUUCUUCUACUUUGCUUCUUCUUCCUCCCUCUCUACUCUCAACCGAACACAGAGAGAAAGAGAUGGGUGAGAGAAAUCGAGAAAGUGAAAGAGAGAGAGAGAGAGAGAUCGAACACAGGGAGAGAGAGAGAUAGCCGUGGGAGAGUUAGAGAGGGAGAGAACGGGAGGAUCGGACCCGAUCGUGGAGAACCCGAGAGACCCAAACCCGAUCCUCCAAUGGUCAUCGCCAGUGACGGUCCCAGUAGCGAUUUUCAGCGGUCCAGUAGUGAAAUCCGGCUACUUCCAAGGGCAAUUUCCGGCGAAAUUUCCGGUGAAGCCCAGAGAUGUUUUCCGGCGAAAUCAGAGAUGAUUUCCAGUAGAUUUUUAGUAUUGAAUGAAGAUCCUCUAUACUAAUGUUUUGGCUGCAGGUUCAACGGAUCUAGAGGAUGACCCCGUAGCUCUGUAUUUGGUGUACUGCGACCGAGGCAUAUCGCUAGAGUCGUAGCUGCGUGGACUUGGACGUCCCAUUUUGGUAGCCUGUUGUUAUUGGCUAGUGUCCUAUGUGACAUUUGUAUUUUGUAGAGCCAGUCUUUUGAUAUGUAAUCAAUGUUAAGUUUAAGCCUUAAAUAGAUAGACUUAUGUAUGGCACUUUUAUAAUUAACAGUUAUGUUAUAGAAAUGUUUUUCUGCUA
Long non-coding RNA from Alnus glutinosa, 1210 nucleotides. RefSeq lists it as uncharacterized. The transcript is spliced from 2 exons. Lineage: Eukaryota; Viridiplantae; Streptophyta; Magnoliopsida; Fagales; Betulaceae. The record is from RefSeq and is a predicted model, not a curated record.